UGCGCACUUGUCGUGCAUCACAAAGUGCGCCAGUUAAUCAAAUCAACCGAUCUUCUCUUGCCGCUGUCCGUCCGGAUGGACACUGAGGAGAAAUGAGGGAGAGAAAGACGAAAAAUAGUGUAAUUUUCCCACAACUUGGCCUUUUUUUCUCAUCUUUUUCGCUUUUUCUUCACAGACGUUCGAGUGCACUUUUAAAAUAAUUUCUUUUAACUCCGAAAAA
This is a non-coding RNA of Caenorhabditis elegans, 220 nucleotides long. Lineage: Eukaryota; Metazoa; Nematoda; Chromadorea; Rhabditida; Rhabditidae. The record is from Ensembl.